GGGGGGGGGGGGGGGAACCCGAAGGCAGCCGCCAAGCCGACGCUUCCUGUCCCCGGUGAGGGACGGUGGAGGUAAACUCCAAGACGGCGCGCGCAGAGAACCCAACGCGGCUGCGAGGAGGUGAAGGCAGCGACGCCGCUUCCCGGAGUGCUCCGGUAGGCUUAGGAGGUUUCGCAAUUCUUAGCAAGGAGGGAGACAGAGGAAAAAUGCAGUGGGGGGCGCAGCUACUAAGGCAGGUAGCAAAUGAGAUCUUUCACUCAAAAUUUGGAUGGAGGGGCGGCAGACAAAGAAUAGGAUGGGAAACAGAGGGGCUUUUAACUAUUUGCCACUCUUACGGAUGUUGCUUAACGAUUUGCCACUAGGCCCACAUGUCAUAGACACAUGAGGGCCCACAUGUCAUUGACAGGGUGUGGCAAAUCGUUAAUUGCCAUGUCACAAGAGUGGCAAAUAGUUAAAUUUCCCGGAAACGGAGGCAGGCUAAACUGAUGGCGAGGAGUUUGAAGACGACGAUGGAAACCUGUGUUUUGAUGCUUGAAAUGCCAAUGUUUUAGUCCUGUAAUAACUGUUUGUUUUCCUUUUUUUUUUCUCUCGUCUUAUCUGUAAGAACUUGAUGUUUCUGGAACUGUUGUAAUCAUGAGCGUUUUCUUUAAUGAAAACGGGGGAGAUACCCUCCCUUUCUCAAAAAAAAAAUCCCAAAUUUGCACAUUUGCUUCCCGAUUUAAUUUUAUUUGCAGGUAGUCGAGAAGUUGGAAUUCCAUGCAAUUAAUCCUAAGAAUUAUUGAAUUCCAGAGCAUGCCUUCUGAAAUUAGCCCAUUGCUUGUCCAAACUACAAGUUGAAACAUAUGUUUGCACUGAGGCAAUGCACAAGAACGAAAACAAUGCAUAACUGGAUGUUCAUGCCCCUCUUGGAAACCUCCAUAUAUGCACUCCUUAUGUAGCUCCUACUGCUCAUUGUUCCAAGGUCUAAAACCAUUUCUUUGCCAGGAUAGUAUCUUGUCCAACAAUAAAUAAUCUCCAUUAGUCUCAUAAUUUCAAGGACUGAAAACAUUUCUGGCACAUAGUAACCUUCUUGUAAACACAUUGCACACUUUCAUUUCUGCAGUUGGAUUUUGCACCUUGCCUGCAAUUCCAUCUAUAAUGUGAGUUAUGGGAAUUAUAGUGAUGAACUCCUCACUGGAAUAAAAAACUUUCAUAUCCAUUUCAUCAAGUUUAUGUGCUUUGCUAUCCACAAGCAUACAUGAUAUUUCUUGAAACACUUGAUCUGCUGCCUCUGCAAAUAAUGACACACCACCGACAUGAGUGAGCACGAUAUCCUUUCUCCUCCAGGCCAAGUGCACAGGACGGCGAGCAAUGCGUAUUCGUGACACCCACUUAACAACACGCUGGUUACGCUUGCUCAGCCUGGAGGAUGUGGCUGCAAUGGACUUGAUGCUAGACUGAGCGUCAGCUACACUUAUUGGACUUGAGGUGUAACUGAUAAGUGACGUGUCUGUACCUACAAGGUCUGUCAAGGGCAUGGCUGAGGUGGCAAGUGUGGACGUCGAACACUUGGUGGGAAUUGCUACCUUCUGUUCACUGGAGCAUAGCUGCACAUACUUGACAUCUAACAAGCAACACCCAUCAUAGAUGUAGCGUCCAUGGAGUGCAUGUUGAGCUCGUGUUACAUCUUAGAUGGACUUGAAAGAGACUACGGCCUCCACAUAGGUAACCGCCUCGAUCACAAUCAUCACAUGCUCCACAUCAUAAGGAACUAAUACUUGAUGAAGUACCUCUGUGGUUACCAGAUAGAGCACAUCGCUCACCGUGAAGUGAAGAACAGUUGUUAUGGUUGGCUCUUUGUUACUUGGCAUUUCAUCGAACACUUGUUGAGCGUCAGUGUAGGUGGUUGCUCCUAGGCUUGAAACAGCACCAACAGAAGCCUGUUAGGUAGAGGGGGCUAGCUAGGGAGGGCGAUACCUUGUUGAGGAUGUGAUCCACAGCAGCGCUCAAUUCAUCAACCUUCGCCUUAAACCUCGCCAUGAAUGCCUUCUGCUUAUGCAGCUCAACGGACUCCACCAUUGAUGCUUCCAUUGGGUAAGGUUUCCACUAUCUUCCUCGUCUCUCUACAGAUCGAACCUUAGGCUAGAAUCACGGUGCGUAAAACACCAACCCUUCCCUUGGGUCUACCAAUCAAGCAGCAAGAGAACCGAUCAGAACAGCUCUGAUACCAAAUUGUUAUGACCCGAGCUCGUGAGAGAUCGAAUCACACAAACUAGCAGCAGAAUACACUGAUAACUUAAGAUAAUUUGAGAAGAAAUUGCGGGAUCGGGUGAAGAACAGAAAGGGGGCAAAGGAAGAAGAACAGAAGGA
Non-coding RNA from Oryza sativa Japonica Group (Japanese rice), 2349 nucleotides. The record is from RefSeq and is a predicted model, not a curated record. Lineage: Eukaryota; Viridiplantae; Streptophyta; Magnoliopsida; Poales; Poaceae.